Molecule: long non-coding RNA, 4840 nt
Organism: Ostrinia nubilalis (European corn borer)
Lineage: Eukaryota; Metazoa; Arthropoda; Insecta; Lepidoptera; Crambidae
Exons: 2
Source: RefSeq, a predicted model, not a curated record
CGUUCGAAGAUUUGUCAUUUUCAUUCAUUUCAUCAUCAUCAUCAUCAUUUCAGCCACAGGACGUCCACAACUGAACAUAGGCCUCCCCCAAUGACUUCCACAUCGCACGGUUGGUAGCGGCCUGCAUCCAGCGCCUUCCCGCUACCUUUAUCAGGUCGUCGGUCCACCUUGUGGUGGGUUGACAUUGCAGAAUAUGACUUUUGAUAGGUUCAUCAUAGAAUUCGGCGGGGAUAUCCUCACGGAGGAAGUUCGAAAAAGGGCGGAACAAGAUCUUAUAAUAAUGCAAGGCCGAAGCUGUAACGCGAGUGCUCCUACGUGUAAUCCGGCGAGUAUGCAAUAAAUAGUAAUGUCUGGUAAAUAGCGGUAAUACGUAUCGUUCGUUCGUUCGUUUCAGCCGAAAAGACGUCCACUGCUGGACAAAGGCCUCCCCCAAGGAUUUCCACGAAGACCGAUCCUGCACCGCUCGCAUACAGGCACCUCCCGCGACCUUGACCAGAUCGUCGGUCCACCUAGUGGGAGGCCUGCCCACGCUACGUCUUUCGGCUCGUGGUCGCCACUCAAGAACUUUCCUGCCCCAGCGGCCAUCAGCUCUACGAGCUAUGUGCCCCGCCCCGUCUAUGUCUAUAUGCGCUACGAUUACAGGGUAUCAUUUUGCAUAGUCGCAAGACUUCACUCCGCUGCUGUCAAAUCAAUGUCGCAUAAUGUUAUCGCAAUGUGUGUGGCCCUUGGCCAAAUCACAGAAGCCUAUGCGAAGAAAGAGCACUUGAAUGACAAUGAAAAUCAGGGUUACCAUUUUAUAAGAUCUCCUCACUAUUGAGGGUAACAAAGUAACAUUAAUAAUCUAGCCAUUAAUUACAUUUAUUACCUAUACGAGAAACUAAAGCAACAUGCGGUUUUAUUUUAAUUUGUAAAAUAUUUGUAACAGUUUGUUCUAAGUUUAGUUUUACAACAGUAUUGCUGUUUCAGCUGUCACUGUGAAGCUUUGGGAUAACAAAUAAAUAGAAAAAAUAUUAACAUAAAUAUUUAUUUAAGUUUUUAUGUUCAUUAUCAUAAUAUGCCAAUUUAAGUUACACUGUGUGACAGUCUUUGACACUAAACAAACUCUUCAGCUUAAUAAUACCUACCUACAGGGCGUUUUUAUAGUUACUCUUGCUGAUGAAACAAGAAGGGUUGAUUCUACUACUGAAAUACAACUACUUUUCUUACAGGACCAAUAUCAAAUUCUCAAAAAAAUUCACAUUCUCGUGAUGGUGAUAAUUUCUAUGGAGAGGUUUUUUUUAUAUUCGGUCUCUUGGGAUAAGUUAUUCCAUUUGAGCAGUAGAAUUAAUCCUUUUUAUUUGAUCACAUAUAAAAAUAACACAAGUGUUUAGGAAAACUUCUUCUUUGGUAUGGUAUCACUACGAAGUUAUAAUGGCGGCAACUCUGUAUCACUGACUUGUAACUUUCAAACAGUAUGAAUAAUAAGAGCACCACAUUGGUUUUCUUUCUGAAAAAAGGCUUUCACUUUUAGUACUAACCCUUUAGCACUAUUUAAUUGAAAUAAAAAUACAAUAAACGCACAGAAGACUGAAAUUGAGUCAACUGACGUGACAUUUAUAAUUUGUUGACAUUAUGACAGUUUGACAAGACUAGGGAUUGAAAAAGUUUUAAUUGAAAAAGUAAAAUGACAAUUUAUUAAAACGAUUCACAAGGAUAUAAUCGAUUAAAAAUAUUUAUAAAAUGUUCUGAUACUUGCCUGUAGCGAUUAUCCAAUCCUGGUUUCUACUGAAAAACUACCUCGUGGCAAUUUUAAUAAAAUAAUAAAAUCUUUAUCUUCUCUUUCACAAUCUAUAAAAGUUCAUUUGGUCUAUUUAUAUUCUUAUACAUGCGCUAUGAAUGAGGGUUUUCGCGAUUGAAAAAUCCGCGAGAUGGCAAUACGUAUACGCGAGGUCCAAAUGCUGCAUGAUUGGUGGAUUUUGACAUAUCUGUCAAUGUCAUGUCAAAAAUAACCAAUCAUGCAGCAUUUGGACCUCACGUCUACGUAUUGCCAUCUGGCGGAUUUUUCAAUCGCGAAAACCCUCAUUGGCAUAGAUUAUGAGAGACUGGCAACUAUACUAGGUUGAUAUAUGUUUCUCUCACUUCAACUGGCAUUGGAUUCAACAUCGGAUUCUGACACUUUUACAGUUAUGAUACCAUGAAUAUCAGUUUAUGGUCCUAAUUAUUUUCAUUUUAUUUACGACCUUCGACCAGUUGGACACUUUAGAUAGCUUCUUGUAAUAGUGUCAAUAUCUUUUUAGCUUUUAACGCAAAUCUAGUCUUCUAAUCGACUUAUUUUAUUUUCAAAAUCGAUAUUUUAUUGUCUAUGAUGGCCGCAGGAACAUCACUAUACAUGGACUCCCAGCAAUAAAGUACGGUAAUGCCUAGUAUAGCCUGACCAGGAACAUAAAAACCCUCGCCAUGUUGCGGAAAACUAAUGGUACUAAUUUCUUUUAAUGGCAACAGUAACUGAAAACUUCAUUGACAUGUCACCUUGCAUGUCAGUCUAUUGCUGUCAAAGUGUAAACAAACUUUAUUUUAAAUGUGCGCAAUUGGUUUUAUGAAUUAAAUUGCUAAAAUAUUUUUAUAGUCGUGAAAGAAAAGUGGUUCACAAUGUGUUAAAGUAUUUGUCGAAGAGAAAUACUAAGGGUUCGGACAAUAUUUUCAUUGAAUAAUGUUUCCGACAAAGGUUGUCAAAUUGACUGACAUGUUUAUCGUAUAGUACAGUCCACUAUGAAAAUUAGAUGUGGUUUGUUUCAACUACCUAUUUUAAAAAUUUUGUCACUUUCUAAGUGUUGAAUUUUAUGGGAUUGGGAAAGAAGUACCGAGUUUGAAGCGUUCAUGAGCAGACAUUGCAGUUGAAUAUUCAAGUUCUGAAUUUGAUUAUUGAUGAAUAAUAAAAUAAAUCUACUAGCUCGAUUGAUGGUUUUAUUUAAUUUAUUUAAAUCAGGUUACCUAUAAUAAUAUUUUUUCGUUAAUUUAUGAAAAUAUCAAAUUAGCCCGUAAUCCUGAAUCCUGAUACAUAAAGUGAGCCUAUUAAUUUAACACAGGUACGACUGUACUCAGUGUUGCACUAUCAAAUGCAAUUGACGCGCCUCUAUGCCAGGGUUUUUAUGUUCCUGGUCAGGCUAUACAGAUUUUAUCGGCAAAAAUAAUGGAACUUGAUAGGUUUUAGACCAUGCCACGCACCAAAACGUCCGGAAGUUGUAAUAGUAUUAUAGAAUAAACGUUAAAAGACUUAUUUAUUUAAUUUUUCAAUGCUUAAGUGUCCAUUAGAAUGAAAGGGUGCUUAAUGUAUUUAAAAAAAUAGAAAAUAAUUAUGAUGGGUUAAUGUUUUUGGGCGGUUUUUUAGGCGGUUUCUGACAAUGUCCUUUAUGAGUAUUUCAUGAUAAUGUACAGAUAUUCGUAUUCGCCGAAUAGUAUAUUUAAUAUUCAUAUUCGUAAAAGUAGUAUACGUUGCAUCACUAAAAUAAAUAUACCUACGUCAGAUUUUGAUGCAAAAAUAAUUUUAUGUAAAAAGUAAUUAGAAUGUUACUACAAUUACGUGUUCUUUCGUGUAACCAAUUUAACUAAAUUACAUUGAAUCGUAGGUAUAUUACGAGUAAAUAUACAGGGUGGCCAGGGAGUUGACGUUCAAAGCUAAAAUUUAGAAUCCUUACAUCGAGGUGUUCUAAAUCACGAGUAUGUUCUUAUGUAGGUAUGUAUGAGUAAUUAAGUACCUUGAUGUAAGGAAUCUAAAUUUUAGCUUUGAACGUCAACUCCCUGGCCACCCUGUAUUAUGUUGCGUUGACUUAUCAUGUUUGUUAACAGUAAGUUGUUUUUAUUUCAAACUACAAUCGAUGCAUUAAGCAAAUCACUGGCUUUCAAACAUUUUUAUUGUGAAUGAAAAUGGAACUUUAAUGGAAAAUAAAUAGAUUAAAUAGUAUCGCAAUAGUUUAAUUGGUGCCUUUCAAUUCACAUUACAUAUAUAUUUUUUAUUCUUAGUAUGUAACAAGCCUUUUUUUUUCGACUGGAAAAUGCAUAAAACUGUAUACUCACUAGCCCAGGGGGGCACAAUAAGUUACUUUAAUUAAAAUAUUCAAUAUAUGAUACACACAUAACCAUAUGGGUGUAGGUAUUAAUAUUGGCAUUACCUAAACGAUGACACCGAGUGUAUUUACCUAUCUAUGCUCGAACUCAUAGCACUAAUGUUUUGCAUCCCGAAGGAUUCGAAGCUGCUGUAUCUACCGAGCCACUUGGUGUAAUCAACUGCAUUGGAUUUGUACUACUUCUUAACUACCUAAAAGGUUUAUGUGUAGAAAAUAAAAUGAAAAUGAUACUUAAAAGUAGGUACACAUUUAUUGUUAUAUUAUUAUAAUACAUAAAUAUUUAUUAAAAAUAAAACUUAUGCAUACUCUUCUUAACAAUAUUCUAAAUGCAACUCAUUUUAUAACGACAAUAUAUCAUAUAAAAGUAUAAAAUAUAAAAAUUCAUCUACACACUAUAAAGAUAAAUGCAUAGCUGAAAUGUUUUCCUAAUAUCAUGAGCGAAAAGCACGAAAAACUUUUGACUUCGAAUCGUUUGCGUAUUCGAAUCGCCAUCAAGAUUCCUAGUAUGAAAAAGUGAAGUUGGUAUGAAAAAAAUGGUAGCACGAAACUAAUUUUUGCAAUCGAGAUCGUCACGUUAUCGUUUAUCGAAGGCUGGGUAUCGAAUUUUGUCGAAUACGCAAACGAUUCUAUCAGAUGAAAGUUGUUUGUACUAGAGUUACUGUGCUCUUAAACAAUGUAAAAUCAGAUUUUAUGGUUUCGAAUUCGAUGGUUGUUUAAGUUCACGCGAAUGAGCAGAC